AAUCUAUGAUGUGGGCAUUUCUGUAUCAGUGUUUUAAAAUGCUCCCAAGCUUCGUGAAAGAUUUCUCCUUCUAACUGCUUCAACGUUGUGAUCUCUAUCCUCAGUCG
This is a non-coding RNA of Gossypium raimondii (Peruvian cotton), 107 nucleotides long. Lineage: Eukaryota; Viridiplantae; Streptophyta; Magnoliopsida; Malvales; Malvaceae. The record is from Rfam.